GGUUCGAUGGUGUAGUUGGUUAUCACGUCUGUCUCACACGUGAAUGCUUAGUCAGUAGUGAUCACAGGAGGUCUCCGGUUCGAGCCCGGGUCGAACCA
Lenzites betulinus is the source of this 98-nucleotide non-coding RNA. NCBI's taxonomy places the organism in Eukaryota, Fungi, Basidiomycota, Agaricomycetes, Polyporales, Polyporaceae. The record is from the annotation of a GenBank genome assembly.